UGGGUGCGUGUCAGAGUGGGCGCUCCCUAAUUUGCGAGGAUCUUUGUUUACGGAGAACAGAGAUCAACACGUGGAGCAGAGACGCCAUGUAAACUGUGUUUGUGAUGCUUGAGCCUUGGAAACUAUUUGUCUACAUCUUGAACCCAUCUGCAUUGGUUACAUGGGUUCAGCGACGCGGCUUUCCAAUGUGGAAGCAUUCGCCCUCCAAACAACCGGGCUGCCAUGUGCAGAACUCCUCAGUCACACCAGACAAACUCAACAAUGGAGGUGGCUGUGUGUGUGUUUACCCAGUGAAGGCUCUCCAGCCGUCAGACGCUGCAGCAUGGGGUUGAGGGUGCCGAUGAAGAAGUAAUGUCUGAGCUGCAUCACCGCCAGCCAAACCGUGUGCCACACAAAGAGCCUGGACAUCAAAGACUCACGGAAACUCUUCUCUGAGAGAGACGAGGGGAAUCCACAGAGAUAGAUGAGUGAAGAGAAAAGAAUAAAGAUGAACAGAAAUAGGCAUAUUGCUUAAUUAUUUUAUUAUGUUACAUUUAACUAUGUAGGCUAUUAAUCCAUGCCACAGUAAAGUGAACACACCUUGUUUCACAGAGACGUCCUCGACUUCCUCUGCCGUCGUCUGUGAGUUACCAUUCGCUGUUAUGUGCUCUAAGCUCAGACUCUUUGAUUUGCCGCAGGUUAUCCUGUCCAAGGUCACAGUGGGUUAGCCACAGACGUUCUUUGAUAAUUAUUUACUUAACAAAUUAAGUUUUGAGUCAUAACCAGCUAUAAUCACAUAACAGGAUAUGAAGGAUAUUUCUAAGUAAUGUGGAACGAUGAUUAUGUGAAAAUUAAAUGUGCUGGUAAGAUAUUAAACGUGAUUGUUUUUGCAAGAAACUUUAA
Cottoperca gobio is the source of this 882-nucleotide long non-coding RNA. RefSeq lists it as uncharacterized. The transcript is spliced from 3 exons. NCBI's taxonomy places the organism in Eukaryota, Metazoa, Chordata, Actinopteri, Perciformes, Bovichtidae. The record is from RefSeq and is a predicted model, not a curated record.